GUGAAUCAUCGAAUGUUUGAACGCAAAUUGCACUCUCUUCGGUGAGUAUGCGUGUUUGAGGGUCAGUUCUAAUGAAAAUCGACGUGUUGCUCUAAUGUGACGUUUCGGAGUUUGGGUCAUCUUAUAACAACACGCUUUCAGGGUAUGAUUAAGAGGCUCAGAAUUGACGUUUAUUGUGCAUUUUAGACGUUCAUAUGUUUUUUUUUAUUCGUCUAUCUUAAUGCCAAAUCUCUAUUAGAUGCUACUAUAUCGUAGGGUUUGGUGUCUAUAAAUUUUUCUUGAUUUGACU
RNAcentral lists this unclassified non-coding RNA (289 nucleotides) under Rhizophagus sp. (in: glomeromycetes). Its description in RNAcentral is "Rhizophagus sp. (in: Fungi) partial contains 5.8S ribosomal RNA and internal transcribed spacer 2". The stretch from base 1 to 65 matches the Rfam family "5.8S ribosomal RNA", at positions 84 to 154 of the family's 154-position model. Lineage: Eukaryota; Fungi; Glomeromycota; Glomeromycetes; Glomerales; Glomeraceae. The record is from RNAcentral.